RNAcentral lists this ribosomal RNA (222 nucleotides) under uncultured bacterium. Its description in RNAcentral is "partial 16S ribosomal RNA". It matches the Rfam family "Bacterial small subunit ribosomal RNA", at positions 15 to 244 of the family's 1533-position model. The record is from RNAcentral.
GAUCCUGGCUCAGGAUGAACGCUGACAGAAUGCUUAACACAUGCAAGUCUACUUGAUCCUUCGGGUGAUGGUGGCGGACGGGUGAGUAACGCGUAAAGAACUUGCCCUGCAGUCUGGGACAACAUUUGGAAACGAAUGCUAAUACCGGAUAUUAUGUGAGUUUCGCAUGAAAUUCAUAUGAAAGCUAUAUGCGCUGCAGGAGACCGCUUUGCGUCCUAUUAG